UAGGGAAUAUUAGAAAUGGACGAAAGUCUGAUCUAGCAACACCGCGUGUGCGAAGAAGGCCUUCGGGUCGUAAAGCACUUUUUGGAAGGAAUAGGAAGGAAUGUACUUCCAGAAUAAGUCUCGGCUAACUACGUGCCAGCAGCCGCGGUAACACGUAGGAGGCGAACGUUAUCCGGAUUUACUGGGCGUAAAGCGCGUGUAGGUGGUUUGGUAAGUAGAGCGUGAAAGCUCCUGGCUCAACUGGGAGAGGUCGUUCUAAACUGCCGGACUAGAGGAUGGUAGAGGGAGGUGGAAUUCCGGGUGUAGCGGUGGAAUGCGCAGAUAUCCGGAGGAACACCAGUGGCGAAAGCGGCCUCCUGGACCAUUCCUGACACUCAGACGCGAAAGCUAGGGUAGCAAACG
RNAcentral lists this ribosomal RNA (402 nucleotides) under uncultured prokaryote. RNAcentral's name for it is "bacterial SSU rRNA". It matches the Rfam family "Bacterial small subunit ribosomal RNA", at positions 355 to 774 of the family's 1533-position model. The record is from RNAcentral.